CCUACGGGAGGCAGCAGUGGGGAAUUUUGCGCAAUGGGGGAAACCCUGACGCAGCAACGCCGCGUGAGUGAUGAAGGCCUUCGGGUUGUAAAGCUCUUUUAGUGGGGAAGAAGCCCAACCGGGCUAAUAUCCCGGGUGGAUGACGGUACCCACAGAAAAAGUUCCGGCUAACUACGUGCCAGCAGCCGCGGUAAUACGUAGGGAGCAAGCGUUGUUCGGAAUUAUUGGGCGUAAAGAGCGCGUAGGCGGUUCGGUAAGUCUGACGUGAAAUCCCGGAGCU
This 280-nucleotide ribosomal RNA is filed under the name uncultured bacterium. Its description in RNAcentral is "partial 16S ribosomal RNA". It matches the Rfam family "Bacterial small subunit ribosomal RNA", at positions 338 to 609 of the family's 1533-position model. The record is from RNAcentral.